GUUGAGAUGAGGAGAUGGAGAGUGGAUACAUGGAUAGAGGAAGGGAUUUGGAGCAGGCAGUAACUUGGAGAUUUACCACAGUAACUUUAUUGUUACUGUGUGGUAACUGAGUUAAAAGACUUGGGAAGUUACCUUGCAAUUUACCACAGUAACUUUAGUUUUACUGUGGUAACUAAGUGAGAUGAAGAGAAGUUACCCGGAUGGGUUAAAAUGGAGUUUUGAGUAUUCUCUCUCUACUUAUUCUCUUAAUCUCUUUAAUCUUACACAAAACAGUAUGAUUGUUCUUAAGCUUGUUUAGAAACACUCUAAUACACAAAAGUGUAUAUGGUAUCAGAGCCAGGUUGCUGUAAAAGGAGAGAGUGAUUUCGUUUUUCUUGAGUGUUCUUGAGUGUUCUUGAG
Molecule: long non-coding RNA, 399 nt
Filed under: Brassica napus (rape)
Lineage: Eukaryota; Viridiplantae; Streptophyta; Magnoliopsida; Brassicales; Brassicaceae
Description: long non-coding RNA (BNAP_LNC002536)
Source: RNAcentral